GACAGAGGUCCCGAGCGUUAGGCGGAAUCACUGGGCUUAAAGGGCGCGUAGGCGGGUGUCAAGUCAGGGGUGAAAUCUUUCAGCUCAACUGGAAAACAGCUUCUGAUACUGGCCGUCUUCGAGGGGGGUAGGGCAUGUGGAAUUCUCGGUGAGCGUGAAAUGCGUAGAUAUCGAGAGGAACACCUGCGGCGAAGGCGGGGUUGCUGGGCUGAUACUGACGCUGAGGCGCGAAAGACCAGGGGUAGCGAACGGG
RNAcentral lists this ribosomal RNA (253 nucleotides) under uncultured bacterium. RNAcentral describes it as "partial 16S ribosomal RNA". It matches the Rfam family "Bacterial small subunit ribosomal RNA", at positions 524 to 776 of the family's 1533-position model. The record is from RNAcentral.